UUACAUGGAACAAUUAGGCUUCUUAGUUUUAAUCCUUCAUUACAAAUAUAGCUAUCUUCAUAUACUCGUAAAUUUUCUUCUUCAUAAUAUUCAGAUAGUUCUGUUAUAUUUUCAUGGAUCUCAAUUCCUUUUCCUUUGUUUGAAAUGUAUUCUAGCCCAACUUCUUACACACACACACACACACACACACACACACACACACACAUUUAACUCAUUUGUAACAAUUAUAGCUUACUCUU
This 239-nucleotide long non-coding RNA is filed under the name Ananas comosus (pineapple). RNAcentral's name for it is "long non-coding RNA (ACOM_LNC014853)". The record is from RNAcentral. Lineage: Eukaryota; Viridiplantae; Streptophyta; Magnoliopsida; Poales; Bromeliaceae.